RNAcentral lists this transfer RNA (79 nucleotides) under Phytophthora infestans (potato late blight agent). RNAcentral describes it as "tRNA-Pro". It matches the Rfam family "tRNA". From Rfam's summary of the family: Transfer RNA (tRNA) molecules are approximately 80 nucleotides in length. The record is from RNAcentral. Lineage: Eukaryota; Oomycota; Peronosporomycetes; Peronosporales; Peronosporaceae.
GGGCAAUCCUCUUUUAGCUCAGUGGUCGAGCGCUGGCUUUGGAAGCCACAGGUCGGUGGUUCGAACCCACCAGGGCGCA